RNAcentral lists this long non-coding RNA (228 nucleotides) under Carica papaya (papaya). Its description in RNAcentral is "long non-coding RNA (CPAP_LNC014106)". The record is from RNAcentral. Lineage: Eukaryota; Viridiplantae; Streptophyta; Magnoliopsida; Brassicales; Caricaceae.
CCGGAAUACGCGGCCGAAGACCAGCGGCGCCGCCGCGCCCCCUCUCGGUUUUUGCCUCCGACGAGGCCCUUCCCGGCCUCCGUUUGAUGCAAUUUUUAUAUCACCGUGAUCACCAUUCUUUUCUCUACAGGUUGACCGGAGCUGAAUCACCAAAACACGAACCUCGCCGGAGAGCCGCCGCACCCGAGAGCGCCGCCGCCGGUAAGCUCCGUUUUUCCGUGAUUUUUU